UGGGGCGCGGGGGGAGGGGGGGAGAGAGUACGGUGGGGGGGAGCGGUGGGCGGAAGGAGUGGGGGGAAAGGGCGCGGAUGGGGCGCGGAAAGUCGUCGGGGAAAGCUCAGGGCUCAACUCGGAGUCGGCCGGGGAUACUCUCGCGCUCGAGCUCACUAGAGGCAGAUGGAAUUCCGGGUGUAGCGGUGGAAUGCGUAGAGAGCCGGAAGAACACCGGUGGCGAAGGCGGUCUGCUGGGGUGAGGCUGACGCUGAUGCGCGACAGCGUGGGGAGCAAACAGGAUUAGAUACCCGGGUAGUC
This 300-nucleotide ribosomal RNA is filed under the name uncultured Methanomassiliicoccus sp. RNAcentral's name for it is "partial 16S ribosomal RNA". The stretch from base 60 to 300 matches the Rfam family "Bacterial small subunit ribosomal RNA", at positions 555 to 795 of the family's 1533-position model. Lineage: Archaea; Methanobacteriati; Thermoplasmatota; Thermoplasmata; Methanomassiliicoccales; Methanomassiliicoccaceae. The record is from RNAcentral.